Molecule: long non-coding RNA, 715 nt
Organism: Ipomoea nil (Japanese morning glory)
Lineage: Eukaryota; Viridiplantae; Streptophyta; Magnoliopsida; Solanales; Convolvulaceae
Exons: 2
Source: RefSeq, a predicted model, not a curated record
ACAUGCGCCAUUUAUGCUCUGGUAUUAACCGAAUAACCCUAGAGGCGCCAUUAUCUUCUCCUACCCACGCAUUCACACAUCCAAGCUACAAAAUCUCUUCAAGCUACAACAUAUCUUCACGCAUCAAUGCAUUCAACAACACUUGGAAGCUAUGCAAGGUACGUAUGCUAACAGCGAGGAGAGCUAUUGUCGUUCAAGGGUUUGCUAUAGCGAUGCAAAAUCCAUAUGUUAUUGUCACUGUGGCCAAAGAUUGAAGAUACGGACAUCGUGGACGGAUGUAAACCCGGGAAGAAGGUAUUGGGACUGUUCCUAUGAUAAUCAAGGGAUUGGAGGGGAUUGGUGGCUGUGGAUUUGUGAGAUGGUUUGACCCUCCAAUGUGUUCAAAAUCCAAGGUGAUUAUUUCCAGGUUGCUACGAAGAAUAAACGGGAUGAGCAAGAAAUUGAAGUCCUAAAAGCUAAGAUUAGAGACACUGCAGGCAUUAAAGGCUCCUAAUUCCAGUGUGAAACUAAAAUUGAAGUCUUUGUGUAGAGUUGUGUUAAUUUUAUUUCUUGUUGUAGCAAUGUUUGUGUUUGUUAGCAAUUUCAAGACUAGUAGUGAUGGGUUUGGAAAGCUUUUUUUUAGCUUGAGGGUGGUUGAAAGUGAAAAUGUAGAAUUUGAAGUAUUUGAAAAAGUUGUUGAAAUGCAAUAUGAAUGUUCAGUUUAAGGUUUUCUCAA